This 532-nucleotide ribosomal RNA is filed under the name uncultured bacterium. RNAcentral describes it as "bacterial SSU rRNA". It matches the Rfam family "Bacterial small subunit ribosomal RNA", at positions 28 to 497 of the family's 1533-position model. The record is from RNAcentral.
GACGAACGCUGGCGGCGUGGAUUAGGCAUGCAAGUCGAACGGUAUGGACCUUUCGGGGUUCAGAGAGUGGCGAACGGGUGAGUAACACGUAGGUAAUCUACCCUCAAGACGGGGACAACCCAGGGAAACUUGGGCUAAUACCGGAUGUGUGUAGUGGCUAUUUUUCUGAUUAUCAUUAUUUACGUAAGUGAGUAAUAAUAAGAAGGGAAAGUGGUUAUUACAUAAAAGGUGGCGUAAGCUGCCGCUUGGGGAUGAGCCUGCGUCCUAUUAGUUAGUUGGUGAGGUAACGGCUUACCAAGGCGAUGAUAGGUAGGCGGCCUUAACGGGUGGUCGCCCACACUGGGAUUGAGAUACGGCCCAGACUCCUACGGGAGGCAGCAGUCGAGAAUAGUCUACAAUGGACGGAAGUCUGAUAGUGCGACGCCGCGUGAACGAAGAAUCCCUUCGGGGUGUAAAGUUCUUUAUACGUGAGCAGUGUCCUUUAUAUUAAUAGUAUAAGGGGAGAGAUAUUAGCGUAUGAAUAAGCAACGGA